Molecule: long non-coding RNA, 792 nt
Organism: Paramisgurnus dabryanus
Lineage: Eukaryota; Metazoa; Chordata; Actinopteri; Cypriniformes; Cobitidae
Source: RefSeq, a predicted model, not a curated record
GAAACAGUACCUGCAUUUAAGUUCCAGCCUUUUUCACAAAGUUGCCAACAACUGGAAGAAUGUCCCAAAUUGCUGCAAAAAGAAAUUCAAUUGAGUAAUUUUCACUCUAGAGACCCUGGGGUGACCACCAAGGACGAAUGCAAACUCCAGUGAGUGUCUCUAAGGUAGAUCCUAAUGCAGAUGGAUGGAAUGUUGAUCCGCCUAACAUGCAAGAGCAAUCGUUUUGAGUCCUGAGACCCUGGGGUGACCACCGUGAACAAAUACAGAAGCACUCAAUUUGAGUCCUGAGACCCUGGGGUGACCACCGUGAACAAAUACAGACUGCAAAAAGGCAGUCUUGACGGUACUAGGAUGAAUGCAAAUAAAGACUAACCACCUGACUUCAGCGGUCCAGUCUCUUGUGGGAAGCAGGUGCUUGUUACCCCAAAUACGGAUGAAGUGUGACAAAGAGGUUGAUGACUUUUUUCUCAAACAUCUGCUGAAGAUCUUAACAGGCUGGAGACAAAAUUAACAGACUGAGGGUUUAUACAAAGAAUCUUACUCAGCCAAUAUUAAAGAUAAGAUAUUUUUACAAAAUGUUCUUUUCAUUGUUUAGGAUGAUUUUAUGUAGAAAACAGUACAUCACAAAAAAGACUUUAGAUGUGUUUUCACAGGCAGAGCCUUACACACACACUAACCACAAUUAUAAACGCAACCCUAACACAGAUUUAUACAGAUUUGUGAAUAACAUUUGAGAGAAAUAGGCCUUUUGGGGACAUAGAAAAUAUUUAAGUUCAGCUCAAGAAAUGAAAA